CAGAGAAAAAAAGUUGAUGCUCUUUUUCUUAAUAGAAAAAGUGAAGGAUACUUUGCAAUUUUAAUAAAUAGACAUUUAAUACGAAAUGAAACAAAAUUUCGCGAGUAUUUUCGUGUUAAUAAAAACCAUUUCGAUCAGUUGUUCUUCUACUUCUCCCGAAAAAUGCAAUUUAGCAAUAUUGCUGUACGGGACAGUCGAAAUACACUGCCCAAAAGCUGGUUUGUGAAUGAAAUAAAUCAACG
Molecule: non-coding RNA, 242 nt
Organism: Cinara cedri
Lineage: Eukaryota; Metazoa; Arthropoda; Insecta; Hemiptera; Aphididae
Source: the annotation of a GenBank genome assembly